RNAcentral lists this ribosomal RNA (391 nucleotides) under uncultured bacterium. Its description in RNAcentral is "partial 16S ribosomal RNA". It matches the Rfam family "Bacterial small subunit ribosomal RNA", at positions 338 to 726 of the family's 1533-position model. The record is from RNAcentral.
CCUACGGGAGGCAGCAGUGAGGAAUAUUGGUCAAUGGGCGCGAGCCUGAACCAGCCAAGUCGCGUGAGGGAUGAAGGUUCUAUGGAUCGUAAACCUCUUUUAUAAGGGGAUAAAGUGUGGGACGUGUCCUAUUUUGUCUGUCCCUUAUGAAUAAGGAUCGGCUAACUCCGUGCCAGCAGCCGCGGUAAUACGGAGGAUCCUAGCGUUCUCCGGAUUUAUUGGGUUUAAGGGGUGCGUAGGCGGCCUUUUAAUUCAGCGGGGAAAGUCUGUGGCGCAACCAUAGAAUUGCCGUUGAUACUGGGGGGCUUGAGUAUGUUUGAGGCAGGCGGAAUGCGUGGUGUAGCGGUGAAAUGCUUAGAUAUAACGCAGAACCCCGAUUGCGAAGGCAGCC